This 223-nucleotide ribosomal RNA is filed under the name uncultured Streptococcaceae bacterium. Its description in RNAcentral is "partial 16S ribosomal RNA". It matches the Rfam family "Bacterial small subunit ribosomal RNA", at positions 116 to 334 of the family's 1533-position model. The record is from RNAcentral. Lineage: Bacteria; Bacillati; Bacillota; Bacilli; Lactobacillales; Streptococcaceae.
CGUAGGUAACCUGCCUCUUAGCGGGGAAUAACUAUUGGAAACGAUAGCUAAUACCGCAUAAAAGUCGAUAUCGCAUGAUAUUGAUUUGAAAGGUGCAAUUGCAUCACUAAGAGAUGGACCUGCGUUGUAUUAGCUAGUUGGUGAGGUAACGGCUCACCAAGGCGACGAUACAUAGCCGACCUGAGAGGGUGAUCGGCCACACUGGGACUGAGACACGGCCCAG